Molecule: long non-coding RNA, 245 nt
Filed under: Brassica napus (rape)
Lineage: Eukaryota; Viridiplantae; Streptophyta; Magnoliopsida; Brassicales; Brassicaceae
Description: long non-coding RNA (BNAP_LNC013599)
Source: RNAcentral
CUUGAACCAACUUCAUCACAAAGACCAGAACCUUCACCAGCUCAACACACACCACCACAUCACUGCUACACCGUUGCUAAAUCAAAGACCAACUAAGCCACACUCUCAAAACCCAGAGAUAAGAACCGGAUUCAAACCCUUUCAAAUUGUCACAAAACCACUCGAAACAGGCUGAAGACACAGCCACUGCAAAACAGGAGAGCCACCAAAGCUUGAAUCUUUACCUCGAUUGGAGUUUCAGACGG